RNAcentral lists this ribosomal RNA (520 nucleotides) under uncultured Glomus. RNAcentral describes it as "SSU rRNA". It matches the Rfam family "Eukaryotic small subunit ribosomal RNA", at positions 569 to 1091 of the family's 1831-position model. Lineage: Eukaryota; Fungi; Glomeromycota; Glomeromycetes; Glomerales; Glomeraceae. The record is from RNAcentral.
AGCAGCCGCGGUAAUUCCAGCUCCAAUAGCGUAUAUUAAAGUUGUUGCAGUUAAAAAGCUCGUAGUUGAAUUUCGGGGUUAGUAGGUUGGUCAUGCCUCUGGUAUGUACUGGUCUCACUGAUUCCUCCUUCCUGAUGAGCCGUAAUGCCAUUAAUUUGGUGUUGCGGGGAAUUUGGACUGUUACUUUGAAAAAAUUAGAGUGUUUAAAGCAAGCUAACGCUUGAAUACAUUAGCAUGGAAUAAUGAAAUAGGACGUUCGAUCCUAUUUUGUUGGUUUCUAGGAUUGACGUAAUGAUUAAUAGGGAUAGUUGGGGGCAUUAGUAUUCAAUUGUCAGAGGUGAAAUUCUUGGAUUUAUUGAAGACUAACUACUGCGAAAGCAUUUGCCAGGAUGUUUUCAUUAAUCAAGAACGAAAGUUAGGGGUAUCGAAGACGAUCAGAUACCGUCGUAGUCUUAACCAUAACUAUGCCGACUAGGGAUCGGAUGAUGUUAAUUUUUUAAUGACUCAUUCGGCGCCUUAC